UACGAAGGGUGCAAGCGUUACUCGGAAUACUGGGCGUAAAGCGUGCGCAGGCGGUGAUGUAAGACAGUUGUGAAAUCCCCGGGCUCAACCUGGGAACUGCAUCUGUGACUGCAUCGCUGGAGUGCGGCAGAGGGGGAUGGAAUUCCGGCGUGUAGCAGUGAAAUGCGUAGAUAUGCGGAGGAACACCGAUGGCGAAGGCAAUCCCCUGGGCCUGCACUGACGCUCAUGCACGAAAGCGUGGGGAGCAAACAGG
Molecule: ribosomal RNA, 253 nt
Filed under: uncultured bacterium
Lineage: Bacteria
Description: partial 16S ribosomal RNA
Rfam family: Bacterial small subunit ribosomal RNA
Source: RNAcentral